RNAcentral lists this transfer RNA (72 nucleotides) under Claviceps pusilla. It matches the Rfam family "tRNA". Rfam says of the family: Transfer RNA (tRNA) molecules are approximately 80 nucleotides in length. Lineage: Eukaryota; Fungi; Ascomycota; Sordariomycetes; Hypocreales; Clavicipitaceae. The record is from Rfam by way of RNAcentral.
UCCGGUAUGGUGUAAUGGUUAACAUCGCCCGCUCUCACCGUGCAGCUCAGGGUUCGAUUCCCUGUACCGGAG